Schistosoma margrebowiei is the source of this 45-nucleotide non-coding RNA. The record is from Rfam. NCBI's taxonomy places the organism in Eukaryota, Metazoa, Platyhelminthes, Trematoda, Strigeidida, Schistosomatidae.
AGCUAACUGACAAGUCCCACAUAGGACGAAACGCGCUUCCUAGAU